RNAcentral lists this long non-coding RNA (421 nucleotides) under Homo sapiens (human). Its description in RNAcentral is "non-protein coding lnc-TMEM189-UBE2V1-4:7". Lineage: Eukaryota; Metazoa; Chordata; Mammalia; Primates; Hominidae. The record is from RNAcentral.
GUGAAGAAGGGGCCGGCCUUCAAGCAAGAGCGACGCAAGAUGGCAGCCACCACGGGCUCGGGAGACUUAAUCCAGUAUAGCUGAAUAAUCCAGUUGGCUGCUGUGCAGAUGAAAAUGCCAGUGUUUUCCAAACAAGCAGUUCAAGAGUAAAAGUCCCUCGCAAUUUCCGACUGUUGGAAGAACUCGAAGAAGGCCAGAAAGGAGUAGGAGAUGGCACAGUUAGCUGGGGUCUAGAAGAUGACGAAGACAUGACACUUACAAGAUGGACAGGGAUGAUAAUUGGGCCUCCAAGAACAAUUUAUGAAAACCGAAUAUACAGCCUUAAAAUAGAAUGUGGACCUAAAUACCCAGAAGCACCCCCCUUUGUAAGAUUUGUAACAAAAAUUAAUAUGAAUGGAGUAAAUAGUUCUAAUGGAGUGGU